AAAUAAUGCUCCUCUAAAAUGGUCAUUGACCAAAGAAAAAUAAAAAGGUAAAUCUUAAGAUUUUUUGAAAUUGAAUGAUUAGGAAAACAUAGCAUACCAAAUUUGUGAGGUUCAGCUGAAGCAAGCCAAAAAAGUUAUUUACAGUUUUAAAUGUAUUAAAAAAGAAAAAUAAUUAUAAAACAAAAGCAAAUAGAUUCAAAGUAAAUAGAAGAUUCUUAUAAGGGCUAAACCAGCAUGAUAGAUAAAAAGGAGAACUAUGGAAGAUCAAUGAAAUAAAAAUUUAAAUCUUCAAAAAUAUCAAUGAAACUUACAAAUCUUUAUAUGCAUUAAGGGAAAAAAGAGAAUAUCAAAAAUAAAAUAAAAGACAUCACUAUAUAUCCUAAAAAUACUGAAUGUAAUUGAAUAUAUAUUGAAAGGGUAAUAAUUAAAUAUUAUAAAACACUUUGCUAAAAAAUUAAAUAACAUAGAUCAAAUAAAAAACUCCUUGAAGACAUAAUACAUAAAUAACACAAGAAGAAAAAAAUUAUAUGGCCAUCCCAUAUGUAUUUUAAAAGUUGACUUUGUAAUAAGAAAUUUCCCAUGAACAAAACUCCAGACCCAGAAGACUUCACUGGUUAAUACUGUCUAACAUUUAUAUAUAUAUAUUUCAUAAAUGCUUUCAGAAAAUUAAGGAGGAGGGAACAUUUUGCAAAUUAUUUUAUGAGACCAGAAGUGUCAUGAGUCCACAAAGAUUAUAAAACAAGAAAAAG
This 749-nucleotide long non-coding RNA is filed under the name Marmota monax (woodchuck). Lineage: Eukaryota; Metazoa; Chordata; Mammalia; Rodentia; Sciuridae. The record is from RNAcentral.